AAAUAAGAGGUCUGUGUUUUUCAGUAAUGGCAAGUUAGGGUAGUUGAGACAGGUGGAAGACAAAAUCUUUUUUUUUUUUUUUCUUUUUUUGGAGACAGAGUCUCAUUUUGUCAUCCAAGCUGGAGUGCAGAGGCGUGAUCUAGGCUCACUGCAACCUCUCGGAUUCAAGGGAUUUUCCUGUCUCAGCCUCUCGGAAGAGAACAUCUUCAUAGGAGAGGAGCUCUAGGAACUGAGAAUGCAGGAAAUUAGAAGAAAUAUAAAUUAAUAGCCAAGAAUUUAGACAGGACUGGGGAGCCAGGAACAAACAAUUGAGAUGUUGGGCUUUUGAUGGAGUUGCCACGGAUGACAGCGUAGUGAGAAAUGAGAUUUAAAAAUGGAGGAUUGUUCGAGGAGGGAGGAGAGCUGAUCUGAAAGCCACCAAGGAGGACAAAUGGAACACCUACCCCCACUGCAGACUGGAAGCUAUCUCCUCUGCAGAACUCUGUGCUAAUGAUAGAAUUUGCAUACUAAUGAUAAUUGCAACCAAGAAAGCUGUAUUCUCUUUCUACUCGAGAUAUGGAGUCUCACUAUGCUGGCCAGACUGGUCUCAAACUUCUGGGCUCAAGCAAUGCUCCCACCUGCCUCGAUCUCCCAAAAUGCUGGAAUUACAGGCAUAAGCCAUCACACCUGGCCAGUAAUUGACUCUGAAAGUAAUACACAAAGAUUGGAAAGGGAUCUAAGUCCUGAAUUCAAAUGUUAACACAUGCAUUUUGCUAUUUCUUUAUUUUUUAAUUGCAGUAAGAACAAAUAACAUGAGAUCUAUCUUCUUAUCAAAUUUGUAAGUAUAUAGUAAUGUUAACUACAGGCACAAUGUUGUACAGCAUUUGUUCUACAUAAUGUUCUACAGGUAUCUGUAGAACUUAUUCUUCUUACCUAACUGAAACUAUGCCUGUUAAAUGGCAAAUCCCCAUUUUCCUCUCACCCAGCCUCCAGCAACCACUAUCCUACUUUCUGUUUCUGUCAGUUUUACUAUAUUAAACUCCAUA
Molecule: long non-coding RNA, 1025 nt
Organism: Pongo pygmaeus (Bornean orangutan)
Lineage: Eukaryota; Metazoa; Chordata; Mammalia; Primates; Hominidae
Exons: 3
Source: RefSeq, a predicted model, not a curated record